UGGUUUUCUUCAUCUCUUCUCUCUGUUAUAUUCUCUUUGUUUUCUUCGUGAUUUGUUCAAUCUCCUUAAAUCUUUGUGAUGUAAUCUUGGUUGUAUUUGGUGUACAAUCGUAGAGAUUGUGAGGAGAGUGAUUUGUUGUAUAAAGGGGCAAGAGAAAACUUGAGUGACUUUUUCAUACAUUUUAUACUGUUCUUCGUGACUCUCAGUGGAUGCGAGCGUAAUUUAUUUUUGUAGAUGCUCAAUGUAGUGAUUAGGCCUUUGGCUAAACAUUCAAGUCCUAA
This 281-nucleotide long non-coding RNA is filed under the name Olea europaea (common olive). Its description in RNAcentral is "long non-coding RNA (OEUR_LNC013507)". The record is from RNAcentral. Lineage: Eukaryota; Viridiplantae; Streptophyta; Magnoliopsida; Lamiales; Oleaceae.